Molecule: long non-coding RNA, 255 nt
Filed under: Ananas comosus (pineapple)
Lineage: Eukaryota; Viridiplantae; Streptophyta; Magnoliopsida; Poales; Bromeliaceae
Description: long non-coding RNA (ACOM_LNC012027)
Source: RNAcentral
CAGGUUCAAACGUGAGCGGCGCGACUGCGCGAGGCGAGAGCGUAGCUCCGUAGUUAGCCCCCUACCACCGAGACCAGAGAUAGCGGUACCCUGAGUCGGCCUUACUUAGGGAUGUAAGGAAUGAAAAAAAUGAAGUUGUAAUAAUAUAAUUAAAGCUAGAUUGUAUUUGGGAGCUAAAAAGAAUGAAAGUUGUAAUAUGUAAAUAUAUGUGAGUUGAAUGAUUGUAAUAACUUAGUUGUAUUUAUGUUUAUGAUA